RNAcentral lists this ribosomal RNA (468 nucleotides) under uncultured bacterium. RNAcentral's name for it is "partial 16S ribosomal RNA". It matches the Rfam family "Bacterial small subunit ribosomal RNA", at positions 28 to 507 of the family's 1533-position model. The record is from RNAcentral.
GACGAACGCUGGCGGCGUGCUUAACGCAUGCAAGUCGAACGGAAAGGCCCUGCUUUUGUGGGGUGCUCGAGUGGCGAACGGGUGAGUAACACGUGAGUAACCUGCCCUUGACUUUGGGAUAACUUCAGGAAACUGGGGCUAAUACCGGAUAGGAGCUCCUGCUGCAUGGUGGGGGUUGGAAAGUUUCGGCGGUUGGGGCUGGACUCGCGGCUUAUCAGCUUGUUGGUGGGGUAGUGGCUUACCAAGGCUUUGACGGGUAGCCGGCCUGAGAGGGUGACCGGCCACAUUGGGACUGAGAUACGGCCCAGACUCCUACGGGAGGCAGCAGUGGGGGAUAUUGCACAAUGGGCGGAAGCCUGAUGCAGCAACGCCGCGUGCGGGAUGACGGCCUUCGGGUUGUAAACCGCUUUCGCCUGUGACGAAGCGUGAGUGACGGUAAUGGGUAAAGAAGCACCGGCUAACUACGUG